AUCGACUAGCAUGCGAGUCGGGAGGGUUCGGCCCUCGGCUGACGGCUCAGUAACACGUAGAUAAUCUGCCCUUAGGUGGAGGAUACCCUCGGGAAACUGAGAAUAAUACUCCAUAGAUCUAGUCUGCUGGAAUGCUUUUAGAUCGAAAGAUUUAUCGCCUAAGGAUAAGUCUGCGGACUAUCAGGUUGUAGUCAGGGUAAAGACCUGACUAGCCUACGACGGAUACGGGUAGUGAGAGCUUUAGCCCGGAGAUGAUAUCUGAGACACGAUAUCAGGCCCUACGGGGCGCAGCAGGCGCGAAAACUUCGCACUGUGCGAAAGCACGACGAGGGAAUCCCACCA
Molecule: ribosomal RNA, 342 nt
Filed under: uncultured methanogenic archaeon
Lineage: Archaea; Methanobacteriati; Methanobacteriota
Description: bacterial SSU rRNA
Rfam family: Archaeal small subunit ribosomal RNA
Source: RNAcentral